RNAcentral lists this ribosomal RNA (695 nucleotides) under uncultured bacterium. RNAcentral describes it as "bacterial SSU rRNA". It matches the Rfam family "Bacterial small subunit ribosomal RNA", at positions 730 to 1425 of the family's 1533-position model. The record is from RNAcentral.
UGNUCUGUCACUGACGCUGAGGCUCGAAAGCGUGGGUAGCGAACAGGAUUAGAUACCCUGGUAGUNCACGCCGUAAACGAUGAGUGCUAGGUGUUAGGCCCUUUCCGGGGCUUAGUGCCGGAGCUAACGCAAUAAGCACUCCGCUUGGGGAGUACGACCGCAAGGCUGAAACUCAAAGGAAUUGACGGGGGCCCGCACAAGCGGUGGAGCAUGUGGUUUAAUUCGAAGCAACGCGAAGAACCUUACCAGGUCUUGACAUCCCGAUGCUAUUCUUAGAGAUAGGAAGUUACUUCGGUACAUCGGAGACAGGUGGUGCAUGGUUAUCGUCAGCUCGUGUCGUGAGAUGUUGGGUUAAGUCCCGCAACGAGCGCAACCCUUAUUGUUAGUUGCCAUCAUUAAGUUGGGCACUCUAGCGAGACUGCCGGUAAUAAACCGGAGGAAGGUGGGGAUGACGUCAAAUCAUCAUGCCCCUUAUGACCUGGGCUACACACGUGCUACAAUGGUCGGUACAACGAGUUGCGAGCCGGUGACGGCAAGCUAAUCUCUGAAAGCCGAUCUCAGUUCGGAUUGGAGGCUGCAACUCGCCUCCAUGAAGUCGGAAUCGCUAGUAAUCGCGGAUCAGCACGCCGCGGUGAAUACGUUCCCGGGCCUUGUACACACCGCCCGUCACACCACGAGAGUUUGUAACACCCGAA